GGGCGUAAAGAGCUCGUAGGUGGUUCGUUACGUCGGAUGUGAAAAUCUGGGGCUCAACCCCAGACCUGCAUCCGAUACGGUCGAGCUAGAGUUUGGUAGGGGAGACUGGAAUUCCUGGUGUAGCGGUGGAAUGCGCAGAUAUCAGGAGGAACACCAAUGGCGAAGGCAGGUCUCUGGGCCAAUACUGACACUGAGGAGCGAAAGCGUGGGGAGCGAACAGGAUUAGAUACCCUGGUAGUCCACGCCGUAAACGGUGGGCGCUAGUUGUGGGAACCUUCCACGGUUUCUGCGACGCAGCUAACGCAUUAAGCGCCCCGCCUGGGGAGUACGAUCGCAAGAUUAAAACUCAAAGGAAUUGACGGGGCCCCGCACAAGCAGCGGAGCAUGCGGCUUAAUUCGACGCAACGCGAAGAACCUUACCAAGGCUUGACAUAUACAGGAAUACGGCAGAGAUGUCGUAGCGGUAAAACGUCUGUAUACAGGUGGUGCAUGGUUGUCGUCAGCUCGUGUCGUGAGAUGUUGGGUUAAGUCCCGCAACGAGCGCAACCCUCGUUCUGUGUUGCCAGCAUUUAGUUGGGGACUCACAGGAGACUGCCGGGGUUAACUCGGAGGAAGGUGGGGAUGACGUCAAAUCAUCAUGCCCCUUAUGUCUUGGGCUGCACGCAUGCUACAAUGGCUGGUACAAAGGGCUGCAAUACUGCAAAGUGGAGCGAAUCCCAAAAAGCCAGUCUCAGUUCGGAUUGGGGUCUGCAACUCGACCCCAUGAAGUCGGAGUUGCUAGUAAUCGUAGAUCAGCAACGCUACGGUGAAUACGUUCCCGGGGCUUGUACACACCGCCCGUCACAUCACGAAAGUCGGUAACACCCAAAGUCAGUGGCCCAACCGCAAGGAGGGAGCUGCCAAAGGUGGGAUCGGUGAUUGGGAUGAAGUCGUAACAAGGUAA
This 943-nucleotide ribosomal RNA is filed under the name uncultured Actinomycetes bacterium. RNAcentral's name for it is "bacterial SSU rRNA". It matches the Rfam family "Bacterial small subunit ribosomal RNA", at positions 556 to 1499 of the family's 1533-position model. The record is from RNAcentral. Lineage: Bacteria; Bacillati; Actinomycetota; Actinomycetes.